This is a long non-coding RNA of Gasterosteus aculeatus (three-spined stickleback), 4730 nucleotides long. The record is from Ensembl. Lineage: Eukaryota; Metazoa; Chordata; Actinopteri; Perciformes; Gasterosteidae.
AUGGAGAAAAAGAGCAAAGCGCCUCGGUUUCCUGCUCAGAGGAGGCCCCCGCAGACGGAGAACCGGCGAGGAGCCUCGCGUGUGUGGAGCCUACUGAGAUUUAGAAAAGUCCCGUGGUUGAAUCGAGCUCGUCGGGGGCCAGAAAAACCCACACAUGGGAUAUCAGAUAUCAGAUAUCAGCCCGGCUGCUCGGGACAUUCUCCACGACCUGUGGUAUCAUCACCGCCGCUCGGAGCUCCACUGGAUGUGAAAGACUGCGUCUGUUCAUUUCUUUUACACGUUGACCUACAUCGCAGCCUUUGCCAAUGUGCCCUUUUACGCGUUUUCAUGUAGUUGUCAAUAUCUUGAGGUGAAAGGUCAACACCUUUUCAAACAAGUCUCUUUUUUUUUUGAAAUUGCCUUGUGACUUCCCGCAAGUCCCGCCCUGCUUGUCGGUUAUCAAUCGAUCCCGAGCAGUGAUGAGGUCAUCUUGCGUAACAGCGCUGUCCCAGUUGUAGCUUGUCACGCUCUGUCUCGCCGCAACAGCUGCUGGACCGAAAGGACAGAUUCCCAAUCUCACGCGUGGAAAAUCCUUGAUUGGAUCAACUGAGUUGAUCCAAUUAAAAAUAAGAAAUACGAAAGGUGGAAAAAGAAUGAGACUCAACUAGAUUAUUCAAAAGUGAGAGGACAAAGGUUUUCAAUCCCCCCCCCAACCAGAACAUUAAUCCGAAUCAGCAGGUCUGGGUUUGCCGUCCAGUCCCCCCUUGUGACUCUCGUCUGUCCCCCUCUCGUCUCACACACACGGCUCACCGGACCGAUGUGCGUGUGUGUGUGUGUGUGUGAGAGUUCCCCUCUGAUGUGUUUGUGUUGUACAUGAUUCCUCUGAGAAGCGGUGGUCUUCAUGAGGGUCUCGGUUCGCUUUUUAUGAACAUAACUCAGGAGGAUGAACUCGAUGGAAUGUCCUCGUGAGGUCCUCGACUCGGCUGUUGAAAAGACAACUUUGGUCUUGUUGUCAUAGCGUCCGGCGUACUUCCUGUCAGUGCACGUUUGUCUCAACAAGAAUGCGAUUUGUUUGAAAAACUGCCGCCCCGAUAGAGAAGAAAGAGGGCAACCAUCUUUGCAUUAUUUCAUCUCGUCCUACGUGUGUUGAGAUCGACUCGUGCUUGUGACCUUAUGGCGACAACUAAAAAAAAACACCACACAACAGCUUGUGACGCAUAAACGAUUUGUAACACUAAUAGUUGUACAUUCAUAAAAUCUACCCCGCCGAACUGCAUGCUGGGUAAAGCUCACAGCAAGAAGUAACUGUGUUGCUACAUGAAAUCACAGAAAAGAGCGACGCAGGAGGAACAAUGAGAGAGCGGAGAUGCGAGCAGCUGUUAGUCCGGUAGUCCGUUUUUUGUCACCCCGAACCCGCGUCUGCAUUAUUGUUGUUGUUGUUAUAAUAAAGAAUAAGAAGCUGAAGAAGAAUAAAGCAUCACUUACAAUAAACUAGAUCAAUAUACCUGUUAAAGUUGUUGGGUAAUGAACAGAAACGCAUCACCUCACUUCUCCACCGCUGACUUCAGAUCCUGCUCCUAUGUGAAUUAUUUCUGUUUAAAAAGCGGAUUCAGGAGAUAAUUAUUCAUGUUUUCAUUGGAUUUAAUUUCCAAUCGUAAGAAAUAUUUGCAUUCUGCACAAAAAUUGAAACUCUUCUAAACCGGGGGGAACAAAGAUUUGUUGUGGGUGUGAAUGAAAUGAUGAACCGUACACUUUAAAUUAUGAGUCAGCACGAGAAUCGUAUUGCAGCGGUUGUCGCUCGGUCAGACGUCACUUGUGCUACAUAAGUGUGUGUGUGUGUGUGUGUGUGUGUGUGUGAUCCGAGGCUCCGGGUCACUCGGCAGAGAACGGACAUCCAGAUGUGUCGCGUUUAGCAGCUGUACGUGGUGAUGGACGGGUCGAGUUUGAACCGAUCCAGAUGCUUCAACCCGCCACUGAGCUCAUUCUCAGGUCACAACUGCUUUCCGCAUUUGACGGGUUUUUACUGUCAAAUUUAGAUUUCUGUCACGCUAUCGUCUGCUUACUGAUCGAAGUCUUUUGGGGCUUUUCUAUAAACAUUCCUGGAUUCUCUCUAAAGAGCAGGAGGUGGUUGGAAAUUCACCCCGAUCAGCUUUGAUUUUAGAUUCCAAAAUAAUUUUUAUUUCCAUGAAUUUGUUUUCAUGCAGUAAGAGCUCCUGUAGGAAGACAAAACAAAACAGUAGUAUGCUCGUCAGGUAUUUCAUGUUCAGUAAGUUACUACAUUAUUAUUAUUAUAAUAAACGUAACGCUUGGAGAGUUCUCCUCCGCGUCAUUGGGCUGCAGUGAGAAUCAAAUCAAAAGGACAGAAGAAACGCAUGAAACUGAAAAGGCCAGUUUUUUCGGCGGUCUGAGUGAGCAGUGCCCCCCCCCGGUCAGCUGUGAACUUUGACCCUACGUCCCCGAGGGAAACUGUCCUGGGAAACCUCUGCAUCUUUCCACUGUUAUUUCUGUCUCACUCGUUCCCACUCCUCCUCCUCUUCCUCCUCCUCCUCCUCCUCCUCCUGCUGCUUUCCGUCUUCAUGGUUUUUUCAUUGUGUCUUUCUGCUCAUAUCACACUCGCUCAUAUUUUUCCGCGCCCUCCCGGUUGCCUCCAUGUUUGAGGUGGUCUGAGGUCCUCUAACCAGGCCCGUAUGUUCCCCCCCCCUCGCCACUCCUACAGAACUCUGUCUCCUCGCCAUUUCCUAUUUCCUGUCCGGUAGCUCCCCUUCUUCCUCUUCCUCUUCUAAUGUACCAAAAAGGCUCCCUCACCUGGCCGAGCUCCAAGUCCUCCAAGGUCUGCGGCCCCCCCCCUUUGCAAGGUUGCCUUGCAAACUGUGAGCUGGAAUGCGAAAAAAAGCUUCUGCGAGAACGCUGACGAAGUGAAGGAACAAGCGCGGCGUUCCUCCCUCUUUAAGUCUCCGAAAUCCUUUUCAGAUUUACCGCGAGUCAUGAAGUGCUCCUCUCUCUCUCUCUCUCUCUCUCUCAAACCUUUUCCUCUCCCGCGUGGCGCUCCGGCAUCUUGCUGGACAACGAGCAUCAUCGAUGGGCAAUAAAAGCAAAGUUUGCCCCAAAUACCCAGUGAUGAGAGCCGGGUACCUGCCCAAAGAGUCCAGAGCAUCACCCCACCAGGACAUUCUGUCCCCCCGUACAUAUAUAUAUAUAUAUAAUUACUAUGAAAUAUUUCUAAUGCAUAUGACCGGUUUCAUAAAGAUAAUUCUGAUGGGAAUAAUUCCACCUUAUUUCUUGUAUUUUUUGGGCGUCAUAACGCAGAAGAUUUUCCGUCUACCGUGACGCUGCAUAUCGUGUUGCCAGGGUUACAAAACGUAGAACAAAUGACAUCAUUUAUGUUCUAUAUUCAUCACGUUCGUCCGCCAGUUUAAAUCUCAGCCGAGCCGCUUGUUUGAUACUCCAACAGAGGGUCCCAGUCUAGUCAGCUGACCUCCCUCACACCACCUGGUGCCCCCCCCCCCCCCCCCCCGCAUCCCCCCAGCUCUUUCAAUCAGCCAGUCUGUCCCGACCAUCAGCGUGGGUUUGUUUGUUUGUGCCAGAAUAUGUGUGUGUGCCUCUUUCAUGGACUAUCAGACACAUCAGCAAUCUCCGGCAUCGUUCCUCCCCUGUUUGAGCCCAAGUCGGGGCCCCUGUCUGGGAUAACUGUUUGUUCGCCAGUGUGCGUGUGCGCGUGUCCGUGUGUGUGUGUGUGUGUGUGUGUUUGGCAGUGUUUCUAGAACUCUCUGUUCCUCAGGAUCACAGAUUAGCAGUACUGUAUUGUUGCUCCGUGUUUGUGUUCGGCCCGGCGCCACAACUACAGGAAGACCCACUGUAAGCUUGGAAAGGUGUGUGUGUGUGUGUGUGUGUGUGUGUGUGUGUGUGUGCGUGCUAUGGGUCCAUCUACCCACGGUGGUCUGGUCCACACACUGUAAGUGGGUCCAUCAGAAGCAAAUGAAGGAACAGGUUUACUAGACAGUGAUGCGCCCGUCUUGGACCGUUGCCAUGGUUUUUUGGCUCGUGAUGUCAUAGAAGUUACUACCUGUUACUACCUGUUACUACCUGUUACUAGUGGAACAAUUGUUUUGUUCUGCUUCUUUUAGGUUGAUCCAGGUCCUUUCUAUUUGGUCUCUAAAGUUCCCGAUUGCUUUAGUUUGUCUCCUUUGAGCCUCAGCUCGACUUGGGACGGGGGGACAUGUGUCUCCCGGAUAUUUUAAAUUAAUAAUGAGCUAAUAUAAGAAGGCGGAAGAUUCAAAUGGAAACAUACCUUUUAAUUCCACAUGUUCUUAGUUGCAUGAAGACUUAAUAUGGUAGAAAAUAACAAACAGGUAAUUUGAUGAGGUAGACAUUUUAAUGGGACCAGAAUAAAAUGGAGCAGCUGCUUUUGGAGACAUAAGUAACUUUUAUUAACUUUUUUUUACGUUUUGCUCCGUUUCUGCACGUUGGAUCCGUCAGUUUCGACGCGGCAUUUCGAGGAGACGUUUUCAAAUUAAACGUAGGACUUUCAAGUUUUGCAGUCAGAAGCGAUAGUGAUCUUCAUAAAAAGCAGGCGGUUCCUUUCUCGGUUCAAGGUGCGUUCAAGCGUUCACGCUCCGAUCGACGCCAAUGAAAUCUGCACAUCUGUUCCAGCUGAGAGAUGGAAACCGCCACUGAGCGAUUAGGACACUUCUAGAACAGUCCACGGAGUCCAACGGUCCACGGAGAACUGCUGUGAAUUUACCGUACCUGUG